RNAcentral lists this unclassified non-coding RNA (395 nucleotides) under soil metagenome. RNAcentral describes it as "partial contains 5.8S ribosomal RNA, internal transcribed spacer 2, and large subunit ribosomal RNA". The stretch from base 1 to 122 matches the Rfam family "5.8S ribosomal RNA", at positions 35 to 154 of the family's 154-position model. The record is from RNAcentral.
GAUGAAGAACGUAGCGAAAUGCGAUACUUGGUGUGAAUUGCAGAAUCCCGUGAACCAUCGAGUCUUUGAACGCAAGUUGCGCCCGAAGCCAUCAGGUUGAGGGCACGUCUGCCUGGGCGUCACAUAUCGUUGCCCAAUGCCUAUUGCAGUGCAAUAGGAAUUUCUAGGGCGAAUGAUGGCUUCCCGUGAGCGUUGUUGCCUCGCGGUUGGUUGAAAAUCGAGUCCUUGGUAGGGUGUGCCAUGGUAGAUGGUGGUCGAGUUAGAACGAUACCGAUCAUGUGCAUGCUCCCCAAAAUAUGGCCUCUAUGACCCACACGCGUCUUUUGACGCUCAUGACGAGACCUCAGGUCAGGCGGGGCUACCCGCUGAAUUUAAGCAUAUCAAUAAGCGGAGGG